Molecule: ribosomal RNA, 253 nt
Filed under: uncultured bacterium
Lineage: Bacteria
Description: partial 16S ribosomal RNA
Rfam family: Bacterial small subunit ribosomal RNA
Source: RNAcentral
GACGAACCGUGCAAACGUUAUUCGGAAUCACUGGGCUUAAAGGGCGCGUAGGCGGGCCGCCAGGUCCGGGGUGAAAGCCUCCAGCUCAACUGGAGAAGUGCCUUGGAUACCGGCGGCCUCGAGGGAGGUAGGGGCGUGCGGAACCUCGGGUGGAGCGGUGAAAUGCGUAGAUAUCCGAAGGAACACCGGUGGCGAAAGCGGCGCGCUGGAUCUCUUCUGACGCUGAGGCGCGAAAGCCAGGGGAGCAAACGGG